Bufo bufo (common toad) is the source of this 291-nucleotide long non-coding RNA. RefSeq lists it as uncharacterized. The record is from RefSeq and is a predicted model, not a curated record. NCBI's taxonomy places the organism in Eukaryota, Metazoa, Chordata, Amphibia, Anura, Bufonidae. The transcript has 3 exons.
CACUGGAAUUGAUAAUUCAGUGCUCUGGAGGACCAGAGUUAGGAAGAUCUAUCACCUGUCCUCUCUUGUCCAAGGAUGCCACUGACUUCCUGAGGGGUCAUCUAACUCCAAAGGAAAUGCAAAUCUGGCACAGUUUGGGAGAGAGAUGGACAAAAUCAAGGGAAGAGUGGCCAAAGGAACCUUUAAUCCCACAGUACAUACCAAGAUUUAAUAAUGGAUGGAUACCUCCAAUAGACAUCUUCCAGGGAGCACCUUGGGAGCAAGAUAUGAGACACCCACCAGAGCCUAUUA